Molecule: unclassified non-coding RNA, 187 nt
Filed under: uncultured Hygrocybe
Lineage: Eukaryota; Fungi; Basidiomycota; Agaricomycetes; Agaricales; Hygrophoraceae
Description: sequence contains ITS1
Source: RNAcentral
GUGAAUGAAUCCUGAAGGAUGUUGCUGGCCCCUUGGGGCAGGUGCACUCCUCAGAUAUUCUCUUGUCCUCACCUUUUACAAAUCCUGUGCACCCUCUGUAGGUUUGGCACGUUCCGACCUAUGUUUUUUUGUCAUUUGCACCGUGGAAUGUCAUUCGAAUGUCGUGAUUCUUUUUGAAUAAAUUACA